RNAcentral lists this unclassified non-coding RNA (1510 nucleotides) under Leishmania donovani. Its description in RNAcentral is "gene:unknown". The record is from RNAcentral. Lineage: Eukaryota; Euglenozoa; Kinetoplastea; Trypanosomatida; Trypanosomatidae.
CACGUGCCUCAAAGACGGCACGUGUUUCUCUUUCCGUGCAUCGUCACCGCUUUCGGACCGUUCUUUCUAGUACGAACCCCCCCACCUGUCCGCCUAGCUGCUCAUUGUCACCAUCCCCCCUCUUUCCAUCAACGUGAACACCGCACGACUCCGCUCCUCUGCCGAGAUCUCCUGCUCCACCGCUUUUUUUUCGUUGCUGUGUCUUUCACCUACCGGCCAUUUUAUUCGACUGCCCAGGAAGGCUUGCUCUCUUGCACGAGGACGGCACAUAUGGCCUCAAAAAUCAUGUUCGUCUCCACCGCAGUGGUAAGAUAACAGCGGACGGUGCCUGGAGCACCUGUGGCUGGAGCUGGCCUCACCAGAGGCGUGCUCAUCGUCGUUCAGCUGGCAGCGAUGACACGGGCCAACCGACGGCGCACCCGGCGUCCUCGCUGACCCGGACGGCAUGCCAUCAGCACGUAUGGUGCGCGCUGUUGGGCUUUUUGGCCGAGGAGGCGGUUGCCAGCCCUGGUGAUUACUGGUGUGCGCGUUCCGCACUUGAACGUCAGCGGCGACCUCCUCCCGGUGACUGGGGAUGCCGCUUGCGACGAAAAUAGCGCAAAGGCGGGGAAGGGAGGGGAGCGCUUGUGUAAGGACGUGGCGUUGCGCUAUCGCGUGUGGUACUUCAGAGCACGGUCACCGGUUUUGUGGCGUCCCAACUACAACUCUGCCUCCUCUGACAUUGUCGGGGCUUCUCUCACGCCAAGCUUUCACCUCAUCGUUGCGGGUCGUGCAGAGACGGUGCUGAAGAUGGGGUACGACGCUAUGGCAUGCAUGUGGGCAGUCGGACGCCUGAUGAAUGUGUAGCUGCAGCCAUGGCUUCGAGUUUCUCUUGAGAGGGCGUCCUGGUGAUGACGAGGAUGAUUUGGGAGGAGAUGGAGAAGCUGUGGUGUCUGGCCCGCAUCGCGCGUGGGUGUAUGCAUGGGUGCGCGUGAGCGGACGGCGUUGAGCACAAAUCGUCCCCCGGACGCCUCCAUGGGCCCUUCCAGUCUCGCUUACCCUCCUCUCACGUUCUCCUCUUGCUCGCUGACAUGCGGAUAAAAGAACAAAAGGCAGGCGCACGAGCCACUGCCGUUCUUGUCGGCUGCUCUCCCCCUGUUGCCUCCUCUUUUUAUCGGACGCUGGAGCUGGCUCUGGCAGCUCCGAUUCUUGUCUAUGUGUGCGCCCAUGUGCGUCGUUUGUGACUGACCUGCUCCCCGCAUCUCACCAGGUGCCCCCUCCUCUUGUGCUCCUCCGUGCUGCCUGCCCCUUCCCUUUCGCUCCCCGUCUCGGUGUGCGUGGUAGGCAUGCCCAUGGCGCCGUCUUUUGCUAUGGUGUACGCUUUCCUAUGGGUCAUCAGUGCCUGCUCUCGCGUAGUUUCUUCUCUCGCGUUGUUGCCAUGUGCGUGUAUCAUCGCCUUUCGCACGCAUCUCUCUCUCUCGCUCUCGCUUGCUGCUUGAGCGUGCCGUUUUUCGCGCUUCCCGGUGCCACG